RNAcentral lists this long non-coding RNA (5745 nucleotides) under Citrus x clementina. RNAcentral's name for it is "Citrus clementina (C. clementina) long non-coding RNA (CCLE_LNC004797)". Lineage: Eukaryota; Viridiplantae; Streptophyta; Magnoliopsida; Sapindales; Rutaceae. The record is from RNAcentral.
CUUCGCCCACGCCCCCCACCAAGGCUAUAGCCCACCCGUUUUUUGGCCAUUUUUCCGCUGGGGGGUCUUGGCGCCCCGACCUUCGUGGGCUGAAUUUUGGGCGCGGGUGUGCCCGUGGCCUAUUUUUUGCACACGGAGGCCUUCCGCAAAGUCUGGGGCCAUUCCGAGUCCCGCGGACGAACUUCGCCCACGCCCCCCACCAAGGCUAUAGCCCACCCGUUUUUUGGCCAUUUUUCCGCUGGGGGGUCUUGGCGCCCCGACCUUCGGGGGCUGAAUUUUGGGCGCGGGUGUGCCCGUGGCCUAUUUUUGGCACACGGAGGCCGCCCGCAAAGUCUGGGGCCAUUCCGAGUCCGGCGGGCGAACUUCGCCCACGCCCCCCACCAAGGCUAUAGCCCACCCGUUUUUUGGCCAUUUUUCCGCUGGGGGGUCUUGGCGCCCCGACCUUCGGGGGCUGAAUUUUGGGCGCGGGUGUGCCCGUGGCCUAUUUUUGGCACACGGAGGCCGCCCGCAAAGUCUGGAGCCAUUCCGAGUCCGGCGGACAAACUUCGCCCACGUCCCCCACCAAGGCUAUAGCCCACCCGUUUUUUGGCCAUUUUUCCGCUGGGGGGUCUUGGCGCCCCGACCUUCGGGGGCUGAAUUUUGGGCGCGGGUGUGCCCGUGGCCUAUUUUUGGCACACGGAGGCCGCCCGCAAAGUCUGGGGCCAUUCCGAGUCCGGCGGACGAACUUCGCCCACGCCCCCCACCAAGGCUAUAGCCCACCCGUUUUUUGGCCAUUUUUCCGCUAGGGGGUCUUGGCGCCCCGACCUUCGGGGGCUGAUUUUUGGGCGCGGGUGUGCCCGUGGCCUAUUUUUGGCACACGGAGGCCGCCCGCAAAGUCUGGGGCCAUUCCGAGUCCGGCGGACGAACUUCGCCCACGCCCCCCACCAAGGCUAUAGCCCACCCGUUUUUUGGCCAUUUUUCCGCUGGGGGGUCUUGGCGCCCCGACCUUCGGGGGCUGAUUUUUGGGCGCGGGUGUGCCCGUGGCCUAUUUUUGGCACACGGAGGCCGCCCGCAAAGUCUGGGGCCAUUCCGAGUCCGGCGGACGAACUUCGCCCACGCCCCCCACCAAGGCUAUAGCCCACCCGUUUUUUGGCCAUUUUUCCGCUGGGGGGUCUUGGCUCCCCGACCUUCGGGGGCUGAUUUUUGGGCGCGGGUGUGCCCGUGGCCUAUUUUUGGCACACGGAGGCCGCCCGCAAAGUCUGGGGCCAUUCCGAGUCCGGCGGACGAACUUCGCCCACGCCCCCCACCAAGGCUAUAGCCCACCCGUUUUUUGGCCAUUUUUCCGCUGGGGGGUCUUGGCGCCCCGACCUUCGGGGGCUGAUUUUUGGGCGCGGGUGUGCCCGUGGCCUAUUUUUGGCACACGGAGGCCGCCCGCAAAGUCUGGGGCCAUUCCGAGUCCGGCGGACGAACUUCGCCCACGCCCCGCACCAAGGCUAUAGCCCACCCGUUUUUUGGCCAUUUUUCCGCUGGGGGGUCUUGGCGCCCCGACCUUCGGGGGCUGAAUUUUGGGCGCGGGUGUGCCCGUGGCCUAUUUUUGGCACACGGAGGCCGCCCGCAAAGUCUGGGGCCAUUCCGAGUCCGGCGGACGAACUUCGCCCACGCCCCCCACCAAGGCUAUAGCCCACCCGUUUUUUGGCCAUUUUUCCGCUGGGGGGUCUUGGCGCCCCGACCUUCGGGGGCUGAUUUUUGGGCGCGGCUGUGCCCGUGGCCUAUUUUUGGCACACGGAGGCCGCCCGCAAAGUCUGGGGCCAUUCCGAGUCCGGCGGACGAACUUCGCCCACCACCCCCACCAAGGCUAUAGCCCACCCGUUUUUUGGCCAUUUAUCCGCUGGGGGGUCUUGGCGCCCCGACCUUCGGGGGCUGAAUUUUGGGCGCGGGUGUGCCCGUGGCCUAUUUUUGGCACACGGAGGCCGCCCGCAAAGUCUGGGGCCAUUCCGAGUCCGGCGGACGAACUUCGCCCACGCCCCCCACCAAGGCUAUAGCCCACCCGUUUUUUGGCCAUUUUUCCGCUGGGGGGUCUUGGCGCCCCGACCUUCGGGGGCUGAUUUUUGGGCGCGGGUGUGCCCGUGGCCUAUUUUUGGCACACGGAGGCCGCCCGCAAAGUCUGGGGCCAUUCCGAGUCCGGCGGACGAACUUCGCCCACGCCCCCCACCAAGGCUAUAGCCCACCCGUUUUUUGGCCAUUUUUCCGCUGGGGGGUCUUGGCUCCCCGACCUUCGGGGGCUGAUUUUUGGGCGCGGGUGUGCCCGUGGCCUAUUUUUGGCACACGGAGGCCGCCCGCAAAGUCUGGGGCCAUUCCGAGUCCGGCGGACGAACUUCGCCCACGCCCCCCACCAAGGCUAUAGCCCACCCGUUUUUUGGCCAUUUUUCCGCUGGGGGGUCUUGGCGCCCCGACCUUCGGGGGCUGAAUUUUGGGCGCGGGUGUGCCCGUGGCCUAUUUUUUGCACACGGAGGCCGCCCGCAAAGUCUGGGGCCAUUCCGAGUCCGGCGGACGAACUUCGCCCACGCCCCCCACCAAGGCUAUAGCCCACCCGUUUUUUGGCCAUUUUUCCGCUGGGGGGUCUUGGCGCCCCGACCUUCGGGGGCUGAAUUUUGGGCGCGGGUGUGCCCGUGGCCUAUUUUUGGCACACGGAGGCCGCCCGCAAAGUCUGGGGCCAUUCCGAGUCCGGCGGACGAACUUCGCCCACGCCCCCCACCAAGGCUAUAGCCCACCCGUUUUUUGGCCAUUUUUCCGCUGGGGGGUCUUGGCGCCCCGACCUUCAGGGGCUGAUUUUUGGGCGCGGGUGUGCCCGUGGCCUAUUUUUGGCAAACGGAGGCCGCCCGCAGAGUCUGGGGCCAUUCCGAGUCCGGCGGACGAGCUUCGCCCACGCCCCCCACCAAGGCUAUAGCCCACCCGUUUUUUGGCCAUUUUUCCGCUGGGGGGUCUUGGCGCCCCGACCUUCGGGGGCUGAUUUUUGGGCGCGGGUGUGCCCGUGGCCUAUUUUUGGCACACGGAGGCCGCCCGCAAAGUCUGGGGCCAUUCCGAGUCCGGCGGACGAACUUCGCCCACGCCCCCCACCAAGGCUAUAGCCCACCCGUUUUUUGGCCAUUUUUCCGCUGGGGGGUCUUGGCGCCCCGACCUUCGGGGGCUGAUUUUUGGGCGCGGGUGUGCCCGUGGCCUAUUUUUGGCAUACGGAGGCCGCCCGCAAAGUCUGGGGCCAUUCCGAGUCCGGCGGACGAACUUCGCCCACGCCCCCCACCAAGGCUAUAGCCCACCCGUUUUUUGGCCAUUUUUCCGCUGGGGGGUCUUGGCUCCCCGACCUUCGGGGGCUGAUUUUUGGGCGCGGGUGUGCCCGUGGCCUAUUUUUGGCACACGGAGGCCGCCCGCAAAGUCUGGGGCCAUUCCGAGUCCGGCGGACGAACUUCGCCCACGCCCCCCACCAAGGCUAUAGCCCACCCGUUUUUUGGCCAUUUUUCCGCUGGGGGGUCUUGGCGCCCCGACCUUCGGGGGCUGAAUUUUGGGCGCGGGUGUGCCCGUGGCCUAUUUUUGGCACACGGAGGCCGCCCGCAAAGUCUGGGGCCAUUCCGAGUCCGGCGGACGAACUUCGCCCACGCCCCCCACCAAGGCUAUAGCCCACCCGUUUUUUGGCCAUUUUUCCGCUGGGGGGACUUGGCUCCCCGACCUUCGGGGGCUGAUUUUUGGGCGCGGGUGUGCCCGUGGCCUAUUUUUGGCACACGGAGGCCGCCCGCAAAGUCUGGGGCCAUUCCGAGUCCGGCGGACGAACUUCGCCCACGCCCCCCACCAAGGCUAUAGCCCACCCGUUUUUUGGCCAUUUUUCCGCUGGGGGGUCUUGGCGCCCCGACCUUCGGGGGCUGAAUUUUGGGCGCGGGUGUGCCCGUGGCCUAUUUUUGGCACACGGAGGCCGCCCGCAAAGUCUGGGGCCAUUCCGAGUCCGGCGGACGAACUUCGCCCACGCCCCCCACCAAGGCUAUAGCCCACCCGUUUUUUGGCCAUUUUUCCGCUGGGGGGUCUUGGCGCCCCGACCUUCGGGGGCUGAAUUUUGGGCGCGGGUGUGCCCGUGGCCUAUUUUUGGCACACGGAGGCCGCCCGCAAAGUCUGGGGCCAUUCCGAGUCCGGCGGACGAACUUCGCCCACGCCCCCCACCAAGGCUAUAGCCCACCCGUUUUUUGGCCAUUUUUCCGCUGGGGGGUCUUGGCGCCCCGACCUUCGGGGGCUGAAUUUUGGGCGCGGGUGUGUCCGUGGCCUAUUUUUGGCACACGGAGGCCGCCCGCAAAGUCUGGGGCCAUUCCGAGUCCGGCGGACGAACUUCGCCCACGCCCCCCACCAAGGCUAUAGCCCACCCGUUUUUUGGCCAUUUUUCCGCUGGGGGGUCUUGGCGCCCCGACCUUCGGGGGCUGAAUUUUGGGCGCGGGUGUGCCCGUGGCCUAUUUUUGGCACACGGAGGCCGCCCGCAAAGUCUGGGGCCAUUCCGAGUCCGGCGGACGAGCUUCGCCCACACCCCCCACCAAGGCUAUAGCCCACCCGUUUUUUGGCCAUUUUUCCGCUGGGGGGUCUUGGCGCCCCGACCUUCGGGGGCUGAAUUUUGGGCGCGGGUGUGCCCGUGGCCUAUUUUUGGCACACGGAGGCCGCCCGCAAAGUCUGGGGCCAUUCCGAGUCCGGCGGACGAACUUCGCCCACGCCCCCCACCAAGGCUAUAGCCCACCCGUUUUUUGGCCAUUUUUCCGCUGGGGGGUCUUGGCGCCCCGACCUUCGGGGGCUGAUUUUUGGGCGCGGGUGUGCCCGUGGCCUAUUUUUGGCACACGGAGGCCGCCCGCAAAGUCUGGGGCCAUUCCGAGUCCGGCGGACGAACUUCGCCCACGCCCCCCACCAAGGCUAUAGCCCACCCGUUUUUUGGCCAUUUUUCCGCUGGGGGGUCUUGGCGCCCCGACCUUCGGGGGCUGAAUUUUGGGCGCGGGUGUGCCCGUGGCCUAUUUUUGGCACACGGAGGCCGCCCGCAAAGUCUGGGGCCAUUCCGAGUCCGGCGGACGAACUUCGCCCACGCCCCCCACCAAGGCUAUAGCCCACCCGUUUUUUGGCCAUUUUUCCGCUGGGGGGUCUUGGCGCCCCGACCUUCGGGGGCUGAAUUUUGGGCGCGGGUGUGCCCGUGGCCUAUUUUUGGCACACGGAGGCCGCCCGCAAAGUCUGGGGCCAUUCCGAGUCCGGCGGACGAACUUCGCCCACGCCCACCACCAAGGCUAUAGCCCACCCGUUUUUUGGCCAUUUUUCCGCUGGGGGGUCUUGGCGCCCCGACCUUCGGGGGCUGAAUUUUGGGCGCGGGUGUGCCCGUGGCCUAUUUUUGGCACACGGAGGCCGCCCGCAAAGUCUGGGGCCAUUCCGAGUCCGGCGGACGAGCUUCGCCCACGCCCCCCACCAAGGCUAUAGCCCACCCGUUUUUUGGCCAUUUUUCCGCUGGGGGGUCUUGGCGCCCCGACCUUCGGGGGCUUAAUUUUGGGCGCGGGUGUGCCCGUGGCCUAUUUUUGGCACACGGAGGGCGCCCGCAAAGUCUGGGGCCAUUCCGAGUCCGGCGGACGAACUUCGCCCACGUCCCCCACCAAGGCUAUAGCCCACCCAUUUUUUGGCCAUUUUUCCGCUGGGGGGUCUUGGCGCCCCGACCUUCGGGGGCUGAUUUUUGGGCGCGGGUGUGCCCGUGGCCUAUUUUUGGCACAC